Acanthosepion pharaonis is the source of this 114-nucleotide non-coding RNA. NCBI's taxonomy places the organism in Eukaryota, Metazoa, Mollusca, Cephalopoda, Sepiida, Sepiidae. The record is from the annotation of a GenBank genome assembly.
UUGUGGCCAUAUCGCACCGAAACACCGGUUCUGGUACGAUCACCAAAGUAAAGCAACAUCGUGCCUCGUCAGUACUUAGAUGGGUGACCGUUUUGGAAUACCAGUUGCUGAAAG